RNAcentral lists this ribosomal RNA (422 nucleotides) under uncultured prokaryote. Its description in RNAcentral is "bacterial SSU rRNA". It matches the Rfam family "Bacterial small subunit ribosomal RNA", at positions 355 to 774 of the family's 1533-position model. The record is from RNAcentral.
UGAGGAAUAUUGGUCAAUGGCCGUAAGGCUGAACCAGCCAUGCCGCGUGAAGGAAGACGGCCCUAUGGGUUGUAAACUUCUUUUCUCAGGGGGUAAACUCUGGAACGUGUUCCGGACUGAAAGUACCUGAGGAAUAAGCAUCGGCUAACUCCGUGCCAGCAGCCGCGGUAAUACGGAGGAUGCGAGCGUUAUCCGGAUUCAUUGGGUUUAAAGGGUGCGCAGGCGGAUAUAUAAGUCGGAGGUGAAAUUCUGAUGCUCAACAUCAGCCGUGCCUUCGAUACUGUAUAUCUAGAGUCAAGUUGGAGUAGGCGGAAUGUGGUGUGUAGCGGUGAAAUGCUUAGAUAUAACACAGAACACCGAUCGCGAAGGCAGCUUACUAAACUUUGACUGACGCUCAUGCACGAAAGCGUGGGGAGCAAACA